UGGGGAAUAUUGGACAAUGGGCGAAAGCCUGAUCCAGCCAUGCCGCGUGUGUGAAGAAGGCCUUUUGGUUGUAAAGCACUUUAAGCGAGGAGGAGGCUACUUAGAUUAAUACUCUAGGAUAGUGGACGUUACUCGCAGAAUAAGCUCCGGCUAACUCUGUGCCAGCAGCCGCGGUAAUACAGAGGGUGCGAGCGUUAAUCGUAUUUACUGGGCGUAAAGCGUGCGUAGGCGGCUUUUUAAGUCGGAUGUGAAAUCCCUGAGCUUAACUUAGGAAUUGGAUUCGAUGCUAGGGAGCUAGAGUAUGGGAGAGGAUGGUAGAAUUACAGGUGUAGCGGUGAAGUGCGUAGAGAUCUGGAGGAAUACCGAUGGCGAAGGCAGCCAUCUGGCCUAAUACUGACGCUGAGGUACGAAAGCAUGGGGAGCAAACAGG
Molecule: ribosomal RNA, 430 nt
Filed under: bacterium
Lineage: Bacteria
Description: partial 16S ribosomal RNA
Rfam family: Bacterial small subunit ribosomal RNA
Source: RNAcentral